AGCAGCCGCGGUAAUUCCAGCUCCAAUAGCGUAUAUUAAAGUUGUUGCAGUUAAAAAGCUCGUAGUUGAAUUUCGGGAUCAAUAUGUCGGUCGUGCCUUCGGUACGUACUGGUAUCAUUGGUUUCUCCUUUCUGACGAACCAUGAUGUCAUUAAUUUGGUGUUAUGGGGAGUUAGGACUGUUACUUUGAAAAAAUUAGAGUGUUUAAAGCAGGCAUUAGCUUGAAUACAUUAGCAUGGAAUAAUGAAAUAGGACGUUCGAUCCUAUUUUGUUGGUUUCUAGGAUCAACGUAAUGAUUAAUAGGGAUAGUUGGGGGCAUUAGUAUUCAAUUGUCAGAGGUGAAAUUCUUGGAUUUAUUGAAGACUAACUACUGCGAAAGCAUUUGCCAAGGAUGUUUUCAUUAAUCAAGAACGAAAGUUAGGGGAUCGAAGACGAUCAGAUACCGUCGUAGUCUUAACCAUAAACUAUGCCGACUAGGGAUCGGAUGAUGUUAAUUUUUUAAUGACUCUUUCGGCGCCUUA
Molecule: ribosomal RNA, 520 nt
Filed under: uncultured Glomus
Lineage: Eukaryota; Fungi; Glomeromycota; Glomeromycetes; Glomerales; Glomeraceae
Description: SSU rRNA
Rfam family: Eukaryotic small subunit ribosomal RNA
Source: RNAcentral